Long non-coding RNA from Malus domestica (apple), 920 nucleotides. RefSeq lists it as uncharacterized. The record is from RefSeq and is a predicted model, not a curated record. Lineage: Eukaryota; Viridiplantae; Streptophyta; Magnoliopsida; Rosales; Rosaceae.
UAGUAGAAAACCCUCCAAGGUCGACUAGAAGAUCGCCUACGAUUCCAAGCUCUGCUCCCUCAACGAGUAUGGCCAGGUCCUCAUUGUCGCCGUCGACAACGUCAGCUCCAAGUAGCUCCAAAACAUCCGCGAGAGGUUGCGCGGAGACUCCGUCGUUCUAAAGGGGAAAAACACGAUGAUGAAAAGGUCUGUUAGGAUCCAUGCGGAGAAGACGGGCAACAGUGCCUACCUCAACCUUGUCCCCCUCUGUGAGCAACGUCGGUCUGAUUUUCACAAAGGGUGAUUUGAAGGAAUUCAGUGAAGAGGUUGGCAAGUACAAGUGAAGAAAGAACCUCAUCUGAGGGUGCUUUUGAUAAGGCCUACGGUUUGCAUCCUCAAGGACCAUUCGCAAAAGCAUAUGGAAUGUUCGGGGAGUGCAUCCGGAGAAGGAGUAUCAUCGGCUAUGCCAACAUUUGGCAGUAGUUGGGUUGAACAUCGUAAUGAUUUGGUGACAGCUUUGAAUUUGUUUCUCUCUCCUUCUGGUUUUGCUACUUUCAGAGCUCCUGCUGCUUGCUUACAUGUACCUAUAUCCAUUUUUCUGAUUAAUGUACUGUGUUUAAUUGAUCAGAGACAUCCAAACCAUCUUUUUUAUUUAUUUAUUUAUUUUAUUUGUACAAACGAGCCAUUACAAAUGAUUAUAAAUUUGGAAAUGUUGUAAAAUCGACAGUGUGCAGUAGAAUGAAUAAAACAAGACACAAAAUUUACGAGGUUCCUCUACAGUCAGUGUGACUGGAGUAUGUCCUUGGAGCAACAGUGGUGCUUUGAUAUAUAAUCUGGAAUCAUAAGAUUACAAAGAUAACUCUAUUUUCUCCUCUCCUCUCUUCUUCCUCUCUCUGUUGUGAGCCUUGUCGCUUCUCUCCCAUUUCUCUGCACUGCCGUGC